CUUAGAGAUGUCGCUAUGCUUAGUGUGGGAGACGGUUUGACAGGUGAAACGUUAGCAGCGGCAACUUGGUUUGGUUAUCAAGGCAACUUAACGUGGAGAAGCUGCGGAGGAGCGUUUGAUGUGUCAAAAAUUUCAUUAACAAGGUUUAAUUAGCAAAAUUAGUUGAUGAGAAUGUGAACUGUGAGUGAUAUGUGCUAGAAUGAAAGCUGCUACUCGUUUUUAUAUUUUGAGAAACCGAUUCUCUUGAUAGUAUAGUUCUAACUUCGGAUUUUCGGUAUGUAUUACUUUAAGACGGGCUUUGUGAACUGUAACAGGACAGUAAGGAAGAUCAGAAGACACUCUGAACAGUAGUAUUGCUCUGUAUUUCUACAGAGGAAACCCAGCAAGUCUGAAAUAACUGCUGCAGUUAGUGCCUCUGCAGGUUUAUUGACAAAUUUAUGUGCAGUUUUUUAAGCUACGAAUCUUUCGUACCUGUAGCACAUUAUCGGGAAUUAGGGCUUGUAACCUCCUGCUUGUUUUAUAUUUUUUAUAUUCGUGUCGGGUGAAAAAGAAUGCGUUGCUUGUAAUAAAAGAUUGUGCCUGUUAGUACAAAAUGUGUUGUUUGUUUUGAAAAUUAGUGCAGCUUGUGUAGAGACGAUGGCAUUUAUGAUGAAGAAAAAGAAAUACUACAAGUUUCAAGUAGAAAUUUGCCUCGAAGAACUGACAGCGGUACCCUUCGUCAGUGCUGUUUUGUUUGCUAAAGUGCGGCUCCUGGAUGGUGGCAGCUUUACGGAAACCUCCAGUCGGGAAGAAGUGCACGAGCACACGGUGCGAUGGGGCGCGAGCUUCGAGUUCGUGUGCAAGAUGAGCGCCAAUGCGUCCACCGGCGUGCUCGACCCCUGCAUACUGAGGGUCUCCGUAAGAAAGGAAGUGAAAGGUGGAAGAUCAUUCCAGAAGCUUGGUUUUUGUGACCUGAAUCUUGCCGAGUUCGCCGGAUCUGGGGAGACGACUCGAAGGUACCUGCUAGAAGGAUACGAUACCCGGCAUAGGCAAGAUAAUUCUAUGCUGAGAGUAUCCGUUAAAAUGAAUAUGCUGUCGGGAGACAUUUUAUUUAAAGUUCCGUCGCCAUCUCUAAAACAUAAACCUGUAGUUGUACAAGAGGAAGGCUCUGAGAGGAGAGACGACUACUCCAGCGGCUCAGUGGCGGGAUCUGUGGCAAGCGGCAGCUCGGGAUUUGGCAGCUUGCCAAAGAAGAGGCCGGCCUUGUUCUCAUCAGAACUGAUAUCAGGAGCGGGGCAGGGUGCUACAGAACCUCAGGAACAACCAGAGGGUACAGUAUCAGUAGCACCUGAAGUUGAUGAAACUCAUGAAUUGGGUCAUUCACGAAACUCUUCCAAUACGAGCCAAAUGAGUCGUGCCUCGGGAUACAGCUCUCUAAAUAGCCAGUCCCAACACAGUAGACAAAGCAGUUCUGGUGACUCGGGACACAUACGGUCCCCAUCGUGGCCGGUUUCGGUGCUGCGUAUGCAUCUGUGCACUGAUGUUGCUUCCUUGAGCAAUCCUACAGCCACCUCUUUGAGCACUCAGUCUCCACCAAAACCUAUAGUGUCAGAGAAGGCACAGUGGCAUUUGUGGCCCAGCUCGUGGUCUCUCGGUCUGGGCAGCAUGUGGCGUCAGCGUAGCUCCUUGUCUCCAUCUAGCUGCAAAGAUAUACCUUCCACAUCUCCCUCCUCAAUGUAUUUUAAAAGGUCUGCUCCUGGUGCAUUCCAUUUUCCUCCUUGGGCUUCCCCGCGCUUUUCACCCAAAGCUGCCUCCUCUCCUGGCAUGUUACAUCAGCACAGUCCUAGUUCCAUUAGAAGCCUGGAUUCCUCUGAAGGUGGAUAUGGACACAUCGAAAGAAUCACAUCCAGGAUUUUCAAGUGGAUUGUGUGUUCAUUUUAUCUGUGAUCUGUGUGAGUGAUUUCACGGCUGUGACCAAUUACAGCCAACUGGUGUCAUAAACUACAUUGGAAAAUGCCUUCUUAGAAGACUGGCGAAGGAAGUAUAUCUUUCUUGUGUGAAUCAAACCUGCUUUCAAGAGUUUAUCUGUUGGAAAUCCUAGCUCUGGCUCUGGACUAAGUGAAACUGGUUCUCUUGAUCGUGCAAAGGCAGCAAUGGAACGACGGAAAAAGGCAGCUGAAGAUGUAACAGUUCCAGGUCGUGUUGAAGUGAC
Molecule: unclassified non-coding RNA, 2191 nt
Filed under: Schistocerca americana (American grasshopper)
Lineage: Eukaryota; Metazoa; Arthropoda; Insecta; Orthoptera; Acrididae
Description: protein FAM102A, transcript variant X3
Source: RNAcentral